AGGUGGCGUAAAUUACCUUUAAUUUUGUUACAAUAGUAAGAAUUAGAAGAAGGGGUGCCGUUUAGCCAGUCGUAAUCGGGAGCAUUAAAAUCUCCUAACAUGACAACCCGAUAGAAAUGCGAGUUUAGAUUUACUUCUAAAGAGUUUAAAUAAUUUUCAAUUACUUUUGUAUCGCAAUCCGGGGCAAAGUUAUGAUUCCACGUAAGCAGACUAUGGUUUCAACCCCCACAUACUCUUCAAUCGUUUCCAGAUCAUGCCUUCGUUUAACGACGCACAACGACUUUGAGAAUGCAGUCACGAAACACGUAAUAAAGUUCAGGAAAAAUAUUUUAACUUAAUAUAGAGUCAUUAAGCCAGGUUUCCGUAAUGCAGUAAAUUCCGGACGUGAUAGCGAAAACAUUGUCAAUGAAGUGACUGCAUUUGGUUCUUAGACCCCUGACAUUUUGAUGAAAUAUAUCAAAAUCGCCGUAGUCGAGAGCCAUAAUCAGUGGGAAUCGGAGCCGCCUCCAGGCACAGGAGCCCCACAGCCUGACUCUGUUGACCUGACAGGCGUGCUCGAGGAGUAGAAAGGAGCAAUAAUGCAACCAUUUGGCCACACUCCAGUAUUAAUGAGUGGAAAGUCAUCUUCAUUGGCCGAAACGUGAAAAGAGUAAUAACUGCUAAAUUUUGUUUUAAGCCUGGUGCACACCAAAUUCUUAAGGCGUAAUUGCUCCUUUAAUGAGGUUUCAAUAUCUAAAGUCGUGAUCUCAGGACUAAACAGACACAAAUUCAUAAUUUUCACUAAGGCAGUUCAAAGAAAGAGAUAUCUAAUUUAGGCCGAAACUUAUUUUUCAAGAUAUUUCUACUGUUACGAAAGCACAUUCAUCUCACAAAGCUGUUAAUAAUAAAUGUUUCAUAAGAUUCAUUAAAAAUAUCACAAAUAACAAUAAACUGAAACUAUUUUGUGUAUUUAUGGCUUGAAAAUAAUGCUUUCAAUAACACAUAGUUUCUAGUGUCAAAUGUUGAGGAUGGUUAAUGAAUAUUUCAUUUGGAAGUAUAUGAACAGAAGCAGUAGUGACGUAAUUAAGGAACUAACCUGGCAUUUUGCUGCUAGGACUGAGGACAACCACAAGAAACACGUGUGGAUAGCCAGUCUGAGGGCUAAAAUUUGAAAAGACAAACUCUCAAAUAUGUAGCAGAAAUUCCAACCACUCACCCAUUGUAUUUAGUAUAUAACAUUUCCGAAGCAAGACUUCGCUAAAACGGGAAUUCAAUUAAGUUCAGCUAAAUAUCUGCUGGAGUAAAGAGAAGUUCGAUCUCACAGAAGUUGACAUAAGAUAUUUAAAGAUUUCUUCCUCUCUGUCUGCACCUGCAUGUCGGAUACUUAAUUCGCAGUUCUUCUGUGUUCGUGUGAAUUGAAUUGUCUUGUACAUUAACUAACACGUCUCAAAUUUGUAGAAAGCAAGACGUCACGAGUUCACGUCCAACAUCACGACACCAGAAAAUCAAGAUAUUCAUAAGGAAGUGCUGCUUUCUAUUCCUGAAGAAGGCACUUCAAACUACACAUUCCCUAACUUGAGUUUUCAACAGUGGGUCAGUCUCGACCAGAAAACGGAAGACAUUCUUAGUAGAAUCGAGAAGAAUGCAGAAACGACUUCUCCAAGUGAAACAGGUUUCCUGAACCAAGUGCCAAAGGUUGUGGCUGAAGAAGAACUCGGCUCCCUUGAGAAUGUGACUGGCCUGGACGACAUGGACAUUUCUCUAAUAAGUGACCUAAUCUUAGACACACCCGAGAAAACCACGCAUGAAAGUAAACUCAGCAUGCUUCACUUUUUACUGACGAACUAGACUUCCAUCACAAUUGGAAAGUGAGAAAGUGAGCAGAAAGUUCUUAAGGGCUAGAGCGCACGAGCGGUUUUUCUGCAGCAGCGGUAAAACUACCGCAAACGCAUAUUCUAGUUGCCUGUGCACACGGACGGUGAAAUAAACGCAUUUUCUUUUCAGUUAAGAGCUGUCUUUUAUGGACACAGUUGGCGUGUGCUCUAGGCUGAUAAGUCGAGGCAUGGAUCUUUUUGAGACUAGCUGUGCGCGCUUUUUACUAAGAGCAAAGUCAAAGCGUAGAAAUAAAUUUUGGUUCCCUCCACUUGUAAGUCAAAGAUUGUUGAAAGCCGAAUUUCAUAAGCUGUAUGAAGACCUCCGUAUGUAUCCAAAGAUAUAAUUCAGAUACUUCCUUUUUUUGUCAAGUUAUGAAGGAACGAGAAAAACGUGGCAUUCAUUAAUUCUUUCUAGACCACCAAGAUGGCGAAAAUUGUAUUGUGCUGGACUGAAAACUAUUUUGUAGUUAGUGUGCUUAAGCUAAAAAAUUCAAUUUGCAAAUAAGACU
This is a non-coding RNA of Zootermopsis nevadensis, 2362 nucleotides long. NCBI's taxonomy places the organism in Eukaryota, Metazoa, Arthropoda, Insecta, Blattodea, Termopsidae. The record is from RefSeq and is a predicted model, not a curated record.